AAGAAGCAGAGAGGGCUGUGGGCACACAUGCUUCUCCUGCAGCACGAGGGAGGGGCCUGCACCUGCUUUCUCAGAGAUGAGGUCCCAGCUGAGCCCUGAGGAAUGCGUAGGAGUCUGUUAGACAAAGAAGACGGCAGGAACAGCAUGCCAGGCGGCGGGAUCUGCUGGUGCGGAAACCUGGAGCAGAGAGAGCAUAGCACUUUUGGAGCGCUGCAAAAAGAGCAGUUAAAAACGAGUGUCAUGUUUACCAUGAAGCUAGUGUGAAUCUAGCUGAAUCCCACGACAGUCAAGGACGAUGGGUAGCACCAGAUGCAGAGAUCUGGAAGCCGGAGAACAGAGGCUGGAACCCCAAGGCACCAUGUCACACCUGCACAGAAACGGAGCUGGAGGGACGGCCCCGGGCAAAACUAUCAACGUGCUUUUGGGUCCCCUCUCUAUGGGUCAUCCAUCCUUCCUUUCCACCUUGGCUGUUCACGUGCUCUCAUGUGUCCAUCUCGUUCCCUUUCUUGGUCUCAGCAGGAUAAGAACCAUCUCUGCUGAGCAGGCUGCGCAGCCUGUGGGAUCCUAGUUCCCCGACCAGGGAUUGAACCUGUGCCCUCUGCAAUGAAAGCACGGAGUCCUAACCACUGGGCUGCCAGGGAAUUCCUGAUAUGUUCUUAAAUGUAGCUAUUUUUAAACAAAAAUAGAGCUACCACAUGACCCUGCAAUCCCCCUCCAGAGAUCCGGAGAACAACAUGGUCUGAAAGGAUACAUGCACCCCAGUGCAUGUAUUACAGCACUGUUUACAAUAGCCAAGAUGUGGAAGCAACCUAAAUGUCCAUCGACAGAGGAGUGGAUAAAGAAGAUGUGGUACAUAGGUUCUGAAGAAACUAGGGGCAGUACAGGAAAGACGCAGACGUAGAGAAUGGACUUGAGGACACAGGGAGGGGGAAGGGUAAGCUGGGACGAAGUGAGAGAGUGGCAUGGACAUAUAUACACUACCAAAUGUAAAAUAGAUAGCUAGUAGGAAGCAGCCGCAUAGCACAGGGAG
This is a long non-coding RNA of Balaenoptera ricei (Rice's whale), 1030 nucleotides long. RefSeq lists it as uncharacterized. NCBI's taxonomy places the organism in Eukaryota, Metazoa, Chordata, Mammalia, Artiodactyla, Balaenopteridae. The transcript is spliced from 3 exons. The record is from RefSeq and is a predicted model, not a curated record.